Molecule: long non-coding RNA, 888 nt
Filed under: Toxoplasma gondii VEG
Lineage: Eukaryota; Apicomplexa; Conoidasida; Eucoccidiorida; Sarcocystidae
Source: RNAcentral
GCACGGGCGACGGGCGUUGCCUGGGCACAUACUUAGCCUUGUGCAUCUGGAAACUGUCGCCCCUGUCGAUUACGAUGCAAAAAGUUCUGCUACAUAUGCAUGUUUCUUAUUUCAGCAUGUACAACAAGCAGUCUGUCCGAUGGAGACAUUUCCUGGGCAUCCUGGUAACGCAUCGCGCCUCAUGCGAAAGCUAUAGGUUCUCCCAUCCUAAACGUGAAAUGUCCCUCUGCAUGGUCCAAGUGUCGAUGCGGGCUUCAGAGGCGAUACAGCUUUUGGUUAUCAUAUUGAACUGUGAACGUCUAUUAAGCAGCAGUCACAGGCUUUUGUCACUAACACAGCCGCGGACUCCAGCGGGCAACGUUAAAGACAUCACUUUACGUAGCGUGUGUCCUGUUGUUUCACCAGUGGUGAACCCCUGCUUUUGAUUAAGUUCAAUUAAGUUCACCGUUGCGUAGCUGCAGCUCUGUGCACACUGCAACUGUUACACUCCAUUUCCAGAAUCACGUUCUUUCGGAACGGAUUCGUAUCUGUUUGUUAGUCUUCUUGAUUUUCGUUCACAUGUCGAUGUGUCUGGGGUCAUUCCCAUUUCGGCUCCUGCAGCGAAUUGCUCAAAACUGAAAUUAGCUUCACCUCUAUCAUGUUCAUGCCCUCAAAAAACAACUUGUUUAUUGGGUGGUCACCCUGCACCAUCUGCGUAGCUUUGUAUCUGUGAUUCGCAGCUUUGUCUGUGCUCCAUGUGGUCUCCGACAUCGACAACAGAGUGUUCAGUGCGUCCAAGUGCUGAACCCACCUUGAGGUGGGUUGCCUCGAGGAUUAGUGACAGAGCAGUCGUCACUAGUCUGCCGUGCACAACUAACACACAAGAAAUGGCAGCCUCUUGUUAGCCGA